UCGGAACCCUCACAUGGUCUGUACGACAUCCACCUACUUGGAUCCAAGACGAGCGUGCGGUGUGGUGAAUAAUAUAAGCACUAACACCUAGGGUGCAGAUUAUGAGCUCAACUCAUCUCAACAACAACAAUUCAAUGAAUAAAUGAACUCACCUGACUUACCUGUGCCUCCACAGCACCAUGCAACAUGUAUGCAUCAUAUUUCAAUCAUAUAGUUCAUAAACCAAUUCAUGAUUUUCAAAUAAUUCUAUGCAUGGCAUAUUCAAAACAUAUUUUCAUAUAAACAUUUUUCUGGGAAAAACAGUAGUAUAUAGGUAAUACGAAAACAAAACUGCCCACUCACUGAUAAGUCGACGGGUCGUAACCCCCGUGGCGUCCCUGGAUGCGAUCGUCCUCGGGAUACGUCUCACCUAUAUGCGAAACAACUAUAAAAACAUUAAUUUUAAGCACAUCACCAAUAAUUUGAAAUAACUUCUCAUACGAUGCUCAAUUUUGGUAUAUUAAUAUACCACAUCGACCUACUCGACGUCACGAGCGUCGAGAAAUUUUUAGAAAAAUUUUUGGAAGCCCCACGCGCCCCCACGCGCCACACGUGGCACGGGUCCACGCGCUGGCCACGCGCAGCACGUGCAGCGCACGUGUCGUCUUCUUCGCAGGUCUCGCCGGACUGGUUCUCCGGUGGCCGGACUCCGGCCGAACUCCGGCCGAUUUUCAAACUCACUAUUCUCCUUCGUUUUUCACCCAUUUUCUUCGUAUUUUAUACCAAAUUGAAGCCCUAAGAGUGUACAAUCACGUUGGACUUGUUUUAGGGCCUAAAAACUACGAAAUCUCACCUUGGAAAAACCAAAGAUUCGGCCAAACUUGAAACCUACGAUCCCGACGUCCAAAACUCUCCAACGAACGUCCCCGAGCUUCCUUAGAACCUCCUAAAGCUCACCACAAGCUUGAAAUCUCCUGAAACACAACAUUUUUACGUUCGCAUGAACAGUACCUCAAAAAUGGAGGUUCGGGAUCUAUGUGAAAUCGAAGGUUUCACUUCCUAAAACUAGCACCAAUGAACUCAGGACGACGAAAGGAUGAAGAUGCAUACCUUAUUUGCCUCGAUCCGUCGAGUUUUGAAGGGUUUUGGGUGAAGGCCGUACGUAUAGGGUGAGGGGAAAGAGAGAGAUCGUGAGGGAGAGGGACAGAGAGAGCUACGGGAGGGAGAGAAGACAGGGAGUGCGUGUGUGUGUGAUUGUGUGGUCCAACACAAUCCUCACCAUCCAUCCAAUUCCCUAACCACAAAAAUUUCCAAAUUCCAAAAUUAAAAUCCCAAAACUUACAAAAUUAAUUCAAUAAUGUCGCACACACACGUACCCGAAUGUCCGUCAAGGGUAGUUACGUCAAUUCACGUCCCCGAAAUUCCCACAAUCAAAUAACCACUUAGUACCCAUAAAAUAACCUUGGGUACAUCUCUCUCAUCCGAUCUUCCGUCUCCCAGGUGGCUUCCUCUGCAGAAUGGUUCAUCCACAAUACCUUUACCAAACUCACCGUCUUGUUCCUCAGAACCUUAUCUUUCCAAUCCAAGAUAGUGACCGGUUCCUCAUCAUACGUCAAAUCCGGAUUAAUCUCUAACGGUUGAGGAGGGAUCACAUGAGAAGGAUCAGAAAUAUAAUGCCGAAGCAUAGAGACAUGGAACACAUUAUGGACCUUAGAUAACUCCGGAGGCAGUUCCAACCGGUAGGCAACUUCACCAACUCUUUCAAUGAUCACAUAAGGUCCAAUAUAUCUCGGACUUAGCUUCCCUCUUUUCCCAAAUCGUACUACACCUCUCCAAGGCGACAAUUUCAAGAAUACCCAAUCACCCACAUCAUACACUCGAUCAGUAGUAUGCCGAUCCGCUAAACUCUUAUGUCGAUCCUGGGCUGCUUUCAGGUUUGACUUAAUUACCUGAACAUUUUGAGUCGUCUCGUCCACGAUCUCAGGGCCUUCUAAUACCCGUUCACCAACCUCAGACCAACAUAAUGGCGUUCGACACGCCCUACCAUAAAGUGCCUCGAAUGGGGACAUACCAAUGCUCGAGUGAAAACUGUUAUUAUAAGCAAACUCCAUUAAGUCCAGACGAUCAUGCCAAGAAUCACCAAAUUGCAGUACUGAAGAUCUCAACAUAUCCUCCAACGUCUGAAUGGUCCUCUCUGAUUGCCCAUCAGUUUGAGGAUGAUAAGCUGUGCUAUACAGUAAUUGAGUACCCAGAGCUUCCUGAAAAGCCACCCAAAAUUUAGAAGUAAACCUCGGGUCUCGAUCGGAGAUAAUAUUUACUGGGACUCCAUGAUACUUGACAAUCUUCGAAAUAAACAACUUAGCCAAUUUAUUCAGAGGGUAUUUCUCCCUCACAGGAAUGAAAUGCGCAGACUUGGUGAGUCGAUCCACAAUCACCCAAAUACCAUCAAAUCCAUUUCGCGUACGAGGAAGUUUAUACACGAAAUCCAUUGUUAUAUUUUCCCAUUUCCACUGGGGAACAGGAAGGGGUUGCAUUCGCCCAAAGGGCUUCUUCCUUUCUGCUUUCACUUGCUGGCAAAUAAUAUACACCUGCUCACAUAUUCUGCAAUUUCUCUUUUCAUACCCGGCCAAUAAUAAAAUGGUCGAAUGGUAUGAUACAUUUUUGUUCCUCCCGGAUGCAUCGCAUAAGCUGAACAAUGUGCUUCAUCCAGAAUUUCCUUCUUCAAUUCCUCAUUAUUCGGAACAUACAUUCUGUCUUCUUGCAUGAGCAUACCAUCUGAUUCCCGAAUUCUGAGGUCUUUCUUUUUCCCUUCACUUCUUAACUGAACCAACUCUUGAACUUCCUCAUUCACCAUCUGAGCUGCAAGUAUACGGUCCACCAAAACUGGCCUGACUUGAAAACUAGCAAGAAAAGCUCCAUCUCGGUCUUCAAUUUCCAACCUUACCCCCGUUGUCCUCAAUUCAGCAAGAAGAGGAACACGACUCGCAUAUAAGGCAUUAAGCCUACCUUGAGGUUUCCUACUCAGUGCAUCCGCUACUACAUUAGCACGACCUGGAUGGUAUUCAAUAGAACAAUCAUAAUCACUUAACAAUUCCAUCCACCUUCGCUGACGAAGAUUAAGAUCAUGCUGAGUAAACAAAUACUGAAGACUCUUGUGAUCAGUGAAGAUCUUACACUUCUCACCAUACAAGUAAUGCCUCCAAAAUUUUCAAAGCAAAAACAAUUGCUGCCAAUUCAAGAUCGUGAGUAGGAUAGUUCCUUUCAUGAUUUUUCAACUGCCUAGAAGCAUAGGCAAUCACCUUAUUAUGCUGCAUCAAAACACAUCCCAAACCAUUUAAUGAAGCAUCACUAUAUAUCUCAAAAUUACCGUUAUCGUCGGGAAGUACCAACACCGGUGCAUGAGUGAGGCAAUACUUCAAUUGUUGAAAACUCCGCUCACAAUUCUCAUCCCACUCAAAUUUAACAUCCUUCCUGGUCAACUUUGUCAACGGUAAAGCAAUCAUAGAGAAAUCCUGAACGAACCGUCGAUAAUAACCUGCUAAGCCAAGAAAACUUCGUACCUCCGUGACGGUUCGAGGUUGCUCCCAAUUCUCCACUGCUGCAAUCUUUUGAGGAUCAACUUGAAUACCUUGAGCUGAUACAAACAUGCCCCAAAAAUGCCACUUCAGUCAACCAAAACUGACAUUUACUGAACUUGGCAUACAACUGAUGCUCCCUUAAUUUCCUUAACACCAAAUUAAGGUGUCGGAUAUGAUCUGCUUGGGACUUAGAGUAUACCAGAAUAUCAUCAAUAAAAACAAUAACAAAUUUAUCAAGAUAUUUCUGGAAUACCUCAUUCAUUAAUCUCAUAAAAGCUGCAGGUGCAUUAGUCAACCCAAACGGCAUAACCGAAAAUUCAUAAUGUCCGUACCGAGUUCGGAAAGCCGUCUUAGGUACAUCGUCUUCUUUAAUCUUCAAUUGAUAAUACCCGGAUCUCAAAUCAAUCUUAGAAAAUACACACGCACCUUUCAGCUGAUCAAACAAAUCAUCAAUGCGGGGCAAUGGAUAACGGUUUUUAAUCGUUACCCGGUUCAAUUGUCUAUAAUCAAUACACAAUCGAAGAGUUCCAUCCUUCUUUCUUCACAAAUAAUACUGGGGCACCCCAAGGUGAAGAACUAGGUUGAAUAAAACCUUUAUCAAGUAAUUCUUGCAACUGGAUUUUUAAUUCCCUUAACUCAGCAGGAGCCAUUCUAUAAGGAGUCAGAGAUAUAGGGUCCGUACCUGGAAGCAAAUCAAUAGAGAAUUCCACCUCUCUGUCUGGCGGCAAUCCCGGCAAAAUCAUCAGGGAAAACAUCCGGAUAAUGUCUGACCACACCAACUUCUUCUAUACUAGUAGGAGCAACAUCAUUUAAUACCACAUGUGCCAAAUAUCCCUGACAACCCUUCGAUAAUAAUUUCCUCGCCCUUAUGGCAGAAAUAACUCCAUGUCUCACCCCACUUCUCUCGCCCACAAAAAAUAACCUCGGGUAAUCCAGGACGAUAAAAAGUAACUGAUUUACCAUAACAAUCAAUAUGGGCACGAUUAUGGUGUAACCAAUCGGCCCCUAAAAUCACAUCGAAAAUCCACAAUAUCUAACGGAAUAAGAUCAGCGGACAUAAUCACGCCCUCAACCAUCACUGGACACCCCAGAUACACACUAUCCACAAUACAUUUAUCUCCUCUAGGCAUGGCAAACUCUAAAUCAAAUCCUAGAGGUGAAGGGUGAGGUUGGGUUAUUUGAGCAAACGUAUGAGAAAUCACAGAGUGCGCGUAGCACCACAAUCAAUCAAAACCUUAGCAAAAUGACCAAGAACAUUUAACGUACCCAUUAUCAAGUCUGGAUGGUUCUGAGCCUCCUGCAGGGAACAUAUGAUUAACUCGCCCCUGAGCUUGCUGACGUCCACCUCGGCCUCUAUUGCCCUGAUUACCUCGUCCCUGAGGAUUACGUCCCUGGCCUGGCUGACUAGGCUGCCUGGAUGAUCCUGCACCACCAGUAGCAACUUCCCCCUGACGGGGCUGGCCUCCCUGAUGCCACUGCGAUCCACCAGCUGGCAUAGAGGAAUAAGAAGAAUAACCUCCAAAAUCCUGAGAAUACCCUGCCUGAGGAUAAGGCUCCUGAGAAUACUGAUAAGGUCCGGAAGCAUACGGAGCAGCAUCCCCCUGAUAGUGGUAGGCACCACCACGACUCGGCUGGCCAUAACCACCCGGUCCAAAACUCUGCUGAACUGGUGCUGGAGGUGGCAUAUUAGUCUGCUGCGGUCUCUGCUGACCCUGGGGGCACUGAGAAGCCCGAUGUCCCAUCUGCCCACACGUAAAACAAGCACCAGAACCUCUCCUACACUCACCAUGGUGACGGGAGUUACAACGGCGGCACCAUGGAGCGCCAGAUCCACCAGCAUCCCUCUGACCCUGAAAUCUGGGUCCACCAGAAAAUCUUCCACCACCUCUCCUCGGGCCAGUAAAACUAUAUCCCCCACUAGAAGAACUCGAACUCGCUCCACUCUUCUUAAAACUCUGUGUCUGUCGAGGUCCAGGAAUAGAAAUACCCUUACCCUUAUCAUUCUUCUUCUGACCCUCAUUCUUGUCCUCGUCAUCCUCACUGUCAGGAAGAUUAUCAGAGUCCUCCAUCCUAACCAAAAUCUCGAAAUACUCAUGAUAAUCAGCGCAGGGAAGUGCAUUGGCAAAGGUACGCCACUUCUUCUUAGAUCCCAACUUGAAACGUCGAAGCAUCUCUCCCUGAUUACCAGCUAUAUCAGUGUCAUAACGAGACAAAUCAGUAAACUUUCUAUAAUAUUCAUGUGCCGACAUAUUUCUCUGUUUCAACCUGGUGAAUUCCUGCUUCUUACGGUCAAUAUACUCAGGAGGAACGAAUCUCUUCAUAAAAUGCUCCUUGAAUACUUUCCAGUCGGCUGCCGUCUCAGGUGACAUGUACCUAGCCUGAUUUAUCCACCAUGCUGCUGGUUCACGACCCAGAAACCAAGUGGUGGUCUCCACCCACCUAUUAGCAGGGAGAUUCCCCUGACUCUCUGCAUCACCUGAAAGGUUUUUCUCAAUAUGAUCAAGCCAUUUCUCUGCCCCCUCAUGACUUUCAUUACCCAUAAACCGAUCUAACUUCAAGUUGUACAUGGUCUCCAGAGGUGUCCUCGGAGGAGGGGGAGGACGAAUCACAUUCUGUAAAGCCUGGGCCAUCGCUUCCCCUAACUGAGUAAUAUCCGGGAAAUUAGGUUCAGGAGUACGGCGGGACUCCCUACGCUCUCUACGAGGCGGCAUGAUUCUGACAGAAAACAUCAAAAGAUCGUUAAGACAUUAACAAUUUUACAGGACUGCAACCUAAGCUCUGAUACCAAACUGACACACCCUGAUCCGGAGGAUCCAGGUGUGCUGGCCGUCACGUGGGCGUGACGUAACCAUAAGCACGACACGGAAGCGUAAUAACAACAUAUAACAACAGAAAUUCAACCCAAACUCAACAUAACCACAUACGGACAUAACCGGACGAGUUACAAGUAAACACAUAAGUUCAGAGCAUAGAUUAACUGCAGUCAAGUAGGACUAAAAUAAGAAUACAUCACCCUCAGGUGAGUCCUACAUGUCCCAAAUCUGUCAGAAAGCCGGAAAGGACCUCGUGAGCCAACCACCGCUAAACUAGAACCUGGAGGGGCGCAAAACAAAAUGAGUGGGUCAGUAAAACAAAUUAGUUUUCCAAAACAUUUCAUUAAAACAGUUAUAUCCCCUCGCCGUAAAAACCUGUAUACUUUCCCAGAAAUAUAUAACCAUAUAAAAUCUCAACAUUUAAAUCUCAAAUCUUUAACAUUUUCAAGAAAACAUGCCAUGACAUAAAUAAAAAUAUAAAUCAGGUGAAUAAGGAAUCAAUCGGAGACCCUGCAGUUGGUCCUAUACGAUUAAUUCAAUAGCUCAAAUCCCACUAAGCCGGAGUCACCACAGUGACCUAUACGGCCCUACUCUGCACAUUACUCGGAACUACGUAAGGUAGUCUAUACGAUGAAAGGUGUAAAAAUACGCUCUAGUGCUUCUCUCAUCAUAUCAUCAGCGCGCAUAACUAAGGUCACCCACUAGUCGGAAUCACGCCUAGUGAUCUGUACGACUAGCAUGUCGGAACCCUCACAUGGUCUGUACGACAUCCACCUACUUGGAUCCAAGACGAGCGUGCGGUGUGGUGAAUAAUAUAAGCACUAACACCUAGGGUGCAGAUUAUGAGCUCAACUCAUCUCAACAACAACAAUUCAAUGAAUAAAUGAACUCACCUGACUUACCUGUGCCUCCACAGCACCAUGCAACAUGUAUGCAUCAUAUUUCAAUCAUAUAGUUCAUAAACCAAUUCAUGAUUUUCAAAUAAUUCUAUGCAUGGCAUAUUCAAAACAUAUUUUCAUAUAAAACAUUUUUCUGGGAAAAACAGUAGUAUAUAGGUAAUACGAAAACAAAACUGCCCACUCAC
RNAcentral lists this long non-coding RNA (7454 nucleotides) under Malus domestica (apple). Its description in RNAcentral is "long non-coding RNA (MDOM_LNC008686)". Lineage: Eukaryota; Viridiplantae; Streptophyta; Magnoliopsida; Rosales; Rosaceae. The record is from RNAcentral.